GUUGCCUCGGGUUGGCAUCAAAAGUAAGCCCCCACAUAAUAUUCCACACACGGGUUUGCCUUAUGUCAUGCUCAAAAUGGGUCGUCCAUGAAUGUUCUUGUGUCCUCGAGGUGACCAAGUCUUAAGUAUUCAUGUGUUGGCAUCCAAUGAUGUCUUCAAAAUCAUAGAUGGCCAUUUAGCUCGUAUCAUCCUCCCCUUCUUGAAAAG
This 207-nucleotide long non-coding RNA is filed under the name Capsicum annuum. Its description in RNAcentral is "long non-coding RNA (CANN_LNC012271)". Lineage: Eukaryota; Viridiplantae; Streptophyta; Magnoliopsida; Solanales; Solanaceae. The record is from RNAcentral.